This 460-nucleotide ribosomal RNA is filed under the name uncultured bacterium. RNAcentral describes it as "partial 16S ribosomal RNA". It matches the Rfam family "Bacterial small subunit ribosomal RNA", at positions 338 to 795 of the family's 1533-position model. The record is from RNAcentral.
CCUACGGGUGGCAGCAGUGAGGAAUAUUGGUCAAUGGGCGGGAGCCUGAACCAGCCAAGUCGCGUGAGGGAAGACGGUCCUAUGGGUUGUAAACCUCUUUAGGCGGGGAGCAAUGCCGGGCACGCGUGCCCGGAGGUAUAGUACCCACAGAAUAAGCAUCGGCUAACUCCGUCCCAGCAGCCGCGGUAAUACGGAGGAGCGGAGCUUUAUCCGGAUUUAUUGGGUUUAAGGGGUGCGUAGGCGGAUUUUUAAGUCGUUGGUAAAAUGGCCGGGCGAAACCGGGGCCUGCCGUUGAAACUGGGGAUCUUGAGUGGGCGAGAAGUAUGCGGAAUGCGUGGUGUAGCGGUGAAAUGCAGAGGUAUCACGAAGAACGCCGAUUGCGAAGGCAGCAUACCGGCGCCCGACUGACGCUGAGGCACGAAAGCGUGGGGAUCGAACAGGAUUAGAUACCCGAGUAGUC